GAUGAACGCUGGCGGCGUGCUUAACACAUGCAAGUCGAACGAUGAAGCCCAGCUUGCUGGGCGGAUUAGUGGCGAACGGGUGAGUAACACGUGAGUAACCUGCCCUUGACUCUGGGAUAAGCCCGGGAAACUGGGUCUAAUACCGGAUAGGAGCGCCUGUCGCAUGACGGGUGCUGGAAAGAUCUUUCGGUCAUGGAUGGACUCGCGGCCUAUCAGCUUGUUGGUGAGGUAACGGCUCACCAAGGCGACGACGGGUAGCCGGCCUGAGAGGGUGACCGGCCACACUGGGACUGAGACACGGCCCAGACCCCUACGGGAGGCAGCAGUGGGGAAUAUUGCACAAUGGGCGAAAGCCUGAUGCAGCGACGCCGCGUGAGGGAUGACGGCCUUCGGGUUGUAAACCUCUUUCAGCAGGGAAGAAGCGAAAGUGACGGUACCUGCAGAAGAAGCACCGUCUAACUACGUG
RNAcentral lists this ribosomal RNA (466 nucleotides) under uncultured bacterium. RNAcentral's name for it is "partial 16S ribosomal RNA". It matches the Rfam family "Bacterial small subunit ribosomal RNA", at positions 28 to 507 of the family's 1533-position model. The record is from RNAcentral.